Molecule: long non-coding RNA, 594 nt
Filed under: Rosa chinensis
Lineage: Eukaryota; Viridiplantae; Streptophyta; Magnoliopsida; Rosales; Rosaceae
Description: sRNA RchiOBHm_Chr6g0286971
Source: RNAcentral
GGAAUUGCCCCACCCAAUAGUCCUCAACAGUCAUUGCUUUGGGCCUCUCAAUCACUGUGGGCACCCAAAGCCCAACUUUCAUUCAUCUGUUCUUCCUAGCCCGAAGGACAUACCGUAAUCUCAAAACGCCAGCCCUCUGGCGACGUAGACACGAUGGCCCCGAGUCAGUUCUGGUCCGCACACGCCCAUCCAUUCCAGAAGACCCGAUCGAGAUCAAAAUACAUUGCUGCAAAAACACCGCCGCACCUGCAGACCAUCUCGCCACCCUUCUGCAGAUCGGAGCUCCAUGCCUCUCGCCGGCCUGCUCGGAGCACAAGACCCGUGCCUCAGCAUGAUCGACUGUACUGCUUUUCCACCCCCUGAGUCCGGCGAGAGUCCAUCAACCAAUUUUCCGACAUCCUAAGCCGCUCUCUAUGUGGCCGGGCCCGACACGGAUCAACAGCAACAUGCAUCCCUACUAUCAUGCACCGGAAGGCCACACCGCCCACCAACAACGAACGCCGGAGUCCGGAACUCGCUCGGGAAUCCAGAAGUUUUCUAUCGAUGUAUCCAAUCCGACAAGGAGCUGAGAUUGGCUUAGUAAACCGAUGAACC